Long non-coding RNA from Triticum dicoccoides, 2917 nucleotides. RefSeq lists it as uncharacterized. NCBI's taxonomy places the organism in Eukaryota, Viridiplantae, Streptophyta, Magnoliopsida, Poales, Poaceae. The transcript has 3 exons. The record is from RefSeq and is a predicted model, not a curated record.
CCCAUCACUCUCUCCCUCUCAUCCCCAAAAAAACUCUCAUGAACUCUGCACGAUCUCCUUGGUCCACCCCACCCGGCUCCUCUCCCCACGAUCUCCUCGCCGCCGCCCCCACCCACGCCGGCCGGUUCCGGCGAGCACCAGCCGCGCGCAACACCCCCACCUCCUCCUCCUCCCCCUCCCUUCCCCUUCCUCCUCCGCUCGCCCCUUCUCUGUCCUCCUUCCUCCCGGCAGCCGGCGAUGGGCGCGGACGAGGAGCACUAGUCCCCCGCGCGGAAGCGCGAGCACAAGGAGGGGGAGGAGCCCGCGGCCGCCAAUGAGAAGCGCCCGCGCACGGCGGACGAGUCAGAGGGCGCCUCGCUGCUGGGGCUCGCCAACUACGCAGAUGAGGAGGAGGAGCGCGGGGCCCCGAGGGGGCACGCGAACGGCCGGGCCCGGGAGGACGACGAGGAGGAGGAAGACGAUGAGGAUGAGGAGGAGCACGAGAGGAGGGCUCCGGAGAGGCGGCCCAGGCAGGUCGAGCUGCGCCGGGACUGCCCCAACCCCGACAGGUAUACUGUCUUUAGUUGCAAUGGAGGGGGCUAAGAUUGUUGGCGAUGCAGUGGUCUCUUACUAGUCACUAAUUAGUCAUACAAGCCAUAAAUGAUGCAUCUGGACCCUACCGCGAACGGCGCGACCGGGCGGGGCGCGGGCGCCACCACUAGACAUGGCCCCGUACCGUCUUGUGGCAGGUCCUCGGGCUGUCCAGGCAAGGGCAAGGUGAAUGUUAUUCAUUCGAAUUCGUGUACUGCAAACUUUUUCCUUUGUGUCCACUGUAAAAGUUGAAGGAUGAGUGCGUCUCAACUCAAGUGUAUACAUUGAUUCAGUGUUGUACUGUUAGAUUAGCUCGUCACCUUCAGUAACUGCUACAAGCAGAGCUAUAUGUAUCCCUGUUCUGAACUUGGAUGAAUUCAAGUCAACCGUUCAUCUUGUGUUCUGAACUUAAGAUUUUAUCAGUGUGAGGUUUCCUUGAAAAAAUGUGUGGUGGUUUUCUCCCCACGCCGAUGUAGCGGCCCGCGCAUUGGAGACACGAGCAUCGCCAUGGUUUGCUGCAGAAUCUGAAACCAACCAAUUAGAACCUGAAACCUCAUGGUCAACUCAGUCUGAAUAAUAUUGCCUUGUACUACUAUUUGUAAUUUUGGUCAUGUUUAUCUAUUUUGAUUUCUAGUUCUACAUAGCUGUGCAAGUGAGCUAUAGUUGUUUAUUCUGUGAUAUGGGAUACUUUUCUGGUUAGUUAUAAGCAAUGAACAUUUAGCCCGGCUUGCUUGAUCCUGGCUCCACCAAUAAUAUAUGUAGCUAUCUUGCUUAACUUUUCAUCAUGUAUGAUAAAAAUGUGAGGCUCUAGUUAGGUCUCUUCUCUGAACUUUAUUGCCUCAUGGGAUGUAGUGGUCUCUCUGAUUCCAUAAGCUGUAAUUAAUCAUAUCCAAAACACAAAUUAUCUGUCCCGGUUUAUUUUCUUGGAUUUAAACAAUGGAUUGAUCUCUUAGCCACCAAUAUAUCCUGUAAGCUGUAAUCAAUAGUAUCCAAAUGGAAUGGGACCUUUCUUUUAUUUGAAACUUCCAAAUCAAGUGUUUUCCUUGAAAUAUAUUCACGGUGGUGUAAGUGAUUUAGCUUUUGAACAGAAACUUUUACAAGGUUCUAGUUGCUUUGACAGUACAAUAUGUUCUACUGUACAUUAUAUUUCCAUAUCUAUAUAAUUUAGUUUGAGAAAGUAACUUAAGGAGGUGUAUCCCUUUUUAUAAUUCCUCUACACUACUCAAUCGCUAUCUGCCUCUAAUUGUUAUAGUGACAUCACUUAUGGGUGCGGCGCUAAAUUCUUGAGAACCUGCUCUAAUCAUCAUACUUUCCAUCCCUCCGUUCAGAUGUAUUACUGUUUCUGAACUAUCAGGCACAAAGGAUGCCUAGCCUUGUUCAUCUGGUGAUCACUGUAUUGGAACCUGAAGGAUAUUUAGCCUUGUCAUCAUGAUGGCCGUUGUCUUCCUUUUUCCUGAAUAUUAUGACCAGCUGAUUAAAGCCUGAAACUGAAGCUUGAUCUUACUUAAAAUUGACCACAGCCUAAUUUUUAUGCUGCAGUUAGGCCUUGGAUAGAAAAUAAACGUGUUAUGCAGGUGAUAUUUCACUAUAUUAUUUUAGUUUUGGAAAUGCACAUUCACGGAUUAUAGUAGCGUUUCUGUUUACUGAAUUUCGUUCUGCUGUUUUUUUUCAUAUCGCUCAUUCUGUUGGCAUGUUUACUCAAAUGUGCCUAAUGUGGUGAGAUCCGGCCGGGCGGCGCCUCGGUCUGUCCUGUCGCGGUAGAUCUCGCUGGUGUAGGGUAGAUGUUGACCCACCAUGGCAAUUCAUAGAUGUAGAGACGCACGGGGAGCACAUGAGCAUGGUUUCAGAUCAGGCUCCUGUGACGAACCCCAUCCGGUCCAGAAGCUUCCAGGUCUAGCGUAUCGGCGUGAACGCCAUCUCUUUCAGAAUAUCAAGUCUGUCAUUGCCUUUACCAUGUUUCUUAAAGCCUUUGGUGGUCUCCUUUUCAUCAUCAGCAGCUCGUUCGGAGCAGUCGUACUGGGCAAUGGAUAAAAUCUACUCUGGAUAGUUGACAGAGGGAGUACAUGCUAAGUUGACUUUUUUCCUGCGGAUUUGCUUAUCGUGAAGAUGCUUGCAAGGAUGCAGAGGGAGGGGAUCAUUUGGAGAGAUAGGAUGCCACUAUUUGGUGUUUUUAUGCAUUUUGGUUUGCUUGUAACUGUGUUUGCACUAGCUGGGAGUAAGUGACUUGGCAAGAAGUGUAGGUGUUUUAGUUGAAGGCAUGAAAAGCCAUGAAAAUAUGUAUGCUCUUAACAGAUGUGCUCUAAUGCUGCUGGUUUAUUAUAAAUCUUGGAUCAGUACUGAUGUGUAA